Molecule: long non-coding RNA, 1447 nt
Organism: Eucalyptus grandis
Lineage: Eukaryota; Viridiplantae; Streptophyta; Magnoliopsida; Myrtales; Myrtaceae
Exons: 2
Source: RefSeq, a predicted model, not a curated record
UUUGAUUCUUCAAGAUUAAGGUCCAGUGAUUUGCUUGCAUAUUUUCCUUUUGAUAUCAGAUCACUGUGUCAAAAUGCACAUAUCUUUAUCUUGUCUUCGCAUAUGAAAACACAUUUAAGAGUUUGAAAAGAAGAUCUAUAUCAUUUCAAGGUUUAGUGACGAUUAUAGUUUGAAAUAGGAAAUAGCUAUGCUUGAUUUAAUCUUGGUUUUUGGUAAUGUCCUUUUACUUGGGAAUUUGAUUACGAUGAGAAACAGUGAAACUUCCUGGCAUGACAAUAUCAUUGACUUUGACUUCUAAAUCAGUCCUAAAGAAUUGUGUUCUGUGGUUCAAGGAAACAAGGUGUUAAACAAUGUACAAUUUGAACCGCUAAUUGUUAAAAGAUCCUCAGCCAGUUCUCGCUUUUCCAGUGUGAGUUAGGACUGCCUGUUGGUUGCUCAAAGCACAUUGCUCAGCAAUGUUAUUACCAUUGAAUCUUUCUAUUGGCCUCAUAUAUGAUGCUCUGUAGCACUGUGUGUACCACUACGAUGCCCUUGACUGGCUGUAAGCUCCAGAAGAUAAAUACAAGGUCGCUAAAAGAUGGGGUCAGAUUCAUAUUUUGAAUCGCAAAUGGUUUGAUCAAUCAACUUCCAGGAAAGGGUAGUUCCAUGUCUUUAGUGAAAAUUGCAAGUAGUCAGCAAAAUCUCUACAGAGUUAUUAGAAGUUCACAGUCUCUCCCCUCUUCAAUGGUUGGAGAUCAGGACUUCCAUUCCAUUUCAGUUAUACUCACCAUGCCGAUCCAGAUUUAGAAACUACUCUCUCACAGAAUGUGUCUUCAAUGUUUGUGGAUCUCCAUUUCCUUGCAGAAGAGGAUAAUAGUGAUGUGGCAGCUGUGCAAUCCAAUGGUGAAGUGAAUCAUGAUGGUUGGGUUGCUGUAGACUCUGAAAAUGAAGACAAUGACCUGUAUUUGUCAGAAUGUAGGUUAACAUCAUCAAAUGCUCGAUUUCUCCAAGAGUGUUCCUAAAAGAAGUGAUCUGCAACUACCAUUCAAAGUUGGCUUGAAGAUAGAGUAUAUCAUCGCACACUGCUUUCUCUCAUUUCAUUAUGAUUGUCUGUGCUCUUCAUGUGAACAACGGGAAGGCUGAAAUGUUAGUAUUGCCGAAUAGGACAGUAGUUGCUGAUUCACAUGACAUUUGGCUGUCUUUCACAUAUGAUUAGUGGCUGAAGGCUGCGAUCCUUUAAAUGGCUUUGUCAGCUUGCGACUCUCCAAUUUGAGAAUACCACGCACUUCAUGACAUGGGUGGCCAAUUUUGCCGAAUGAAAUCAUUGUGUUUACAUGUUAAAAGAUGACGCAUGACUAUAGUUAAUUUGUGUUAAAGACAAUCUUUCAGCUCUUCCCGCUAAUGGCAUGCAUAUAGUUUCCAGGAUGGUAUAUGCUUGUAAGUAAUAAACGGUUUCAUAUGGUUUUCU